RNAcentral lists this ribosomal RNA (468 nucleotides) under uncultured bacterium. Its description in RNAcentral is "partial 16S ribosomal RNA". It matches the Rfam family "Bacterial small subunit ribosomal RNA", at positions 28 to 507 of the family's 1533-position model. The record is from RNAcentral.
GACGAACGCUGGCGGCGUGCUUAACACAUGCAAGUCGAACGGAAAGGCCCUGCUUUUGUGGGGUGCUCGAGCGGCGAACGGGUGAGUAACACGUGAGUAACCUGCCCUUGACUUUGGGAUAACUUCAGGAAACUGGGGCUAAUACCGGAUAGGAGCUCCUGCUGCAUGGUGGGGGUUGGAAAGUUUCGGCGGUUGGGGAUGGACUCGCGGCUUAUCAGCUUGUUGGUGGGGUAGUGGCUUACCAAGGCUUUGACGGGUAGCCGGCCUGGGAGGGUGACCGGCCACAUUGGGACUGAGAUACGGCCCAGACUCCUACGGGAGGCAGCAGUGGGGAAUAUUGCACAAUGGGCGGAAGCCUGAUGCAGCAACGCCGCGUGCGGGAUGACGGCCUUCGGGUUGUAAACCGCUUUCGCCUGUGACGAAGCGGGAGUGACGGUAAUGGGUAAAGAAGCACCGGCUAACUACGUG